GAUGAACGCUGGCGGCGUGCCUAAUACAUGCAAGUCGAGCGAACAGACGAGGAGCUUGCUCCUCUGACGUUAGCGGCGGACGGGUGAGUAACACGUGGAUAACCUACCUAUAAGACUGGGAUAACUUCGGGAAACCGGAGCUAAUACCGGAUAAUAUAUUGAACCGCAUGGUUCAAUAGUGAAAGACGGUUUUGCUGUCACUUAUAGAUGGAUCCGCGCCGCAUUAGCUAGUUGGUAAGGUAACGGCUUACCAAGGCAACGAUGCGUAGCCGACCUGAGAGGGUGAUCGGCCACACUGGAACUUCGACACGGUCCAGACUCCUACGGGAGGCCGCAGUAGGGAAUCUUCCGCAAUGGGCGAAAGCCUGACGGAGCAACGCCGCGUGAGUGAUGAAGGUCUUCGGAUCGUAAAACUCUGUUAUUAGGGAAGAACAAAUGUGUAAGUAACUAUGCACGUCUUGACGGUACCUAAUCAGAAAGCCACGGCUAACUACGUG
RNAcentral lists this ribosomal RNA (497 nucleotides) under uncultured bacterium. Its description in RNAcentral is "partial 16S ribosomal RNA". It matches the Rfam family "Bacterial small subunit ribosomal RNA", at positions 28 to 507 of the family's 1533-position model. The record is from RNAcentral.